CCCAGACUCCUACGGGAGGCAGCAGUGGGGAAUAUUGCACAAUGGGGGAAACCCUGAUGCAGCAACGCCGCGUGAAGGAAGACGGUUUUCGGAUUGUAAACUUCUAUCAAUAGGGAAGAAAGAAAUGACGGUACCUAAAUAAGAAGCCCCGGCUAACUACGUGCCAGCAGCCGCGGUAAUACGGAGGAUGCGAGCGUUAUCCGGAUUUAUUGGGUUUAAAGGGUGCGCAGGCGGAGGUGCAAGUCAGCGGUAAAAUUUCGGGGCUCAACCCCGUCGUGCCGUUGAAACUGGCGUUCUUGAGUGAGCGAGAAGUAUGCGGAAUGCGUGGUGUAGCGGUGAAAUGCAUAGAUAUCACGCAGAACUCCGAUUGCGAAGGCAGCAUACCGGCGCUCAACUGACGCUCAUGCACGAAAGCGUGGGUAUCGAACAGGAUUAGAUACCCUUGUACG
This 449-nucleotide ribosomal RNA is filed under the name uncultured bacterium. Its description in RNAcentral is "bacterial SSU rRNA". It matches the Rfam family "Bacterial small subunit ribosomal RNA", at positions 330 to 793 of the family's 1533-position model. The record is from RNAcentral.